AUUACCCACUGCUCGAUCGCAAUUCGUGUGGCAAGCGGGCCGCGGGUUUUGCCGCUGGUAAUAACAGUCCGUCAGCUGGAAACGGUUCCUCGGAUGACGGGGACUACGGCGGUGAUGGAGAUGACGGAGACAAUGACGGUGAUCAGGGUGGAAACCAAGGGGGCCGCGGUUGCAGCCAAGGACGAGGUCCUUGCAAUCAAGGCGGUGCCGGCGGUUGCAGUGGAGGAAAGACCGGUCCCUGCAAUUCUCGUCCAGGAGGUAACCGCCCAGGAGUCAGUCCGGGAAAAUCGACAUACCAUCCUGGACCUCAAGGCGCGGGUUCUUCUGCAUAUCCAGGAGGUCAAGGUGCGGGCAGUUCUCAUCCAGGAGGUCAAGGUGUAGCCAGUCCCUAUCCAAAACUUCAAGGAGCAGGUAGUCCUUACCAAGGAGGUCAAGGUGCAGCUAGUCCCUAUCCAAAACUUCAAGGAGCAGGUACUCCUUACCAAGGAGGUCAAGGUACAGGCAGUCCCUAUCAAGGAGGUCGAGGCGCCGGUAAUCCUUAUCCAAGUGGCCAAGGUUCAGGCAGCCCGUCAUACCCAGGAAGCCAAGGUCCCAACAGCGGUGGCUGUGACGGAUCCUGCAAUCGUCCUGGAAAGAGAGGUCCACCUCGCGGUGGCAACCUUCAACAACCUAUCAGUGGUCAAUAUCCCGGAGGACAAAGUUCCGGUAACGCGCAUCCAGGAAACGGCGGUGGUGGUGGCCCCGGUGCUGCGUAUCCCCCACCGAACAGCAUCUGCAACUAUAAAAAAUGAUUUAGUCAGAUGAUUUUGAGUAUUGCGAUUUUGUUGUAUGAAUCGAGCAGCUGGAGACGAAGUGACCACGCGGACUCAUCGAGUAUACAUAUACAUAUAUACAUUUGUAAUUAUUAGAUAGUUAUAUAAUGUGUAAAUAAAUUAUUGACCUUUUUGAGAUAAAUACUUGUUUUUAUUUUUCAUGUAGAGUUAGGCCACACAUAAAAUUACAUCAUAGUGCCAUUAUUUAACGACCAAUGCUUUAAUUUAAAUUUAUUUUUUAAUAAUACCAUCUCAGCGCGAUUAUAGUGCGAAAUUGAGAACAUUAAAACCUGAAUAUCAUAAAUAUUAAUUCAGUGAAAAUUAAUUGGUAGCCACAGAUUUAAUUUAGUAUAAUUGUAUGGUUAUAAUUUUAAAUAAAGAUGAAAAUUCCGUAUUUUAAAUUUACGGAACUUCAAAAAGAUAACCAUAAGAUAUCUCUUUAUCUAAAAAGCAAAGUGUUUUAGAUAUUUAUGUCUGCUGCAUUUAACCUUAAAUGUAGGUUUUGCCGAUGCCGGAAUCAUAUGAUACGUGAUGUAAACAGUAUAUCAAAUUUUGAUAAAAUAAGAUCAAGUUUUUUCAUAACAAAUAAGUAUGAAUCCAACAUUGUCAACACGAGUUAUUAUUCGAACAUUUCGACCUAAUUUCUGUCGAUAUCUUUCUGUGCAAUCAAGUGUCAACAAAAGUAGCAAUAGCUCUACUGGAACACCACAUUUUCACCGAAAAAUUGAAAAUCGUUCAUCCAAUUUCCCGUUAUUCAAACAACCCUUUCGAAAUUCACUGUGCAACGCACCUUUGCCACUGUGCUCAAGUUUUCACAGAAAUUAUGCAAAAAAGGCAGAGGAUCCACUAGAUCUUGAUAAACCACCAGAGCCGGAGGUAUGGAAAUCAUCUUUAGGGAAUACAAAAACAUCAGAAGAAGAUAUUGAAGAAAUAGCAGCUAGUAUAUCAGAAAUACUUGAUGCUUUUGGAGAAACUUAUGCAGUCAAAUAUGCUGAAGAGUUAUUUGUAGAGAUGCACAAUAUCACUGGAUUGCCAUGGUGGGCAUCGAUUGCACUCACAGCAGUUUUAGUUAGAACAACUAUGGUUUUGCCAAUGUCUUUAGUUCAGGUCAGAAUUAUGGGAAGAUUACAAAUGGUUACAUUGCAUAUGACUAAAGUUAUGGAAAGAUUGAAAAAAGAGUCAAAUGAAGCUCGUAAAAGAUUUGGUUGGCCAGAUGAAGUCAUAACUGAAAAAUACAAGAAAGCAGUGAAAAAUGAAUGGGAUUAUCAAAUAGGAAAGGAAAACUGUCAUCCAAUAAAAACUCUCUUCCCUAUUCUGAUUCAAGUACCAACUUGGGCAGUAUUUUCACUCGGUUUGAGGAACUUGUGUCUACCACCUAGGGAAGGUGCUGCUCCUAGUGAGGUAUACACAGAAUUAUCAAUUGGUGGUUUUGGAUGGGUAACAGAUCUCACAGCCAUUUAUCCUACAUUUGCAUUACCAGUGUCGCUUGGAAUUGUUUAUUUUUUAACAAUAGAAGUUCACAGAAUGUUUAGACUACAACCAUAUGUUUCUGCAGAAGAAGUAAAAUGCCUAUUUAUGCAAUGUAUAAAUAUUGGUGUAGUAGGAUUGAGUAUAGUGUCACCCACGGCAUUGAGCAUCUAUUGGUUAAGUAGCGCUUCAUAUGGAUUGAUACAAGCUUUCCUAGUGAAUACACAAGCGUCGUAUCGUCUCCUCAAUAUACCCGUCUUAGGCACUCCCAUGGAACACCCAUAUCGCCUUUUUAGAGAAAAUCUGAAGAACAGAUUUAAAAAGAGGGAAAAAGAACCGUUAUAUAUCCGUGAAUAAAGAAGGUAAACAUCACUGAAUAUAGAAAGGACAAUGUAUUUGCUAACAGUACAACACAUCUUCUUUUAUAAUUAAUUAAUUUUUCGACUACUUUUACAUUGACAACUCUUUUUCAAUUCGCGUCCUCCAAGUACUUCCGAGUCUCAUUCGUAUACUCGCUGUACUUCACAGUGUCUUUUGCAAUUAAUUAAUAAUCCAAGAAAACUCGGAUCGUCGAUCAUUAUAUCUCAGGAAAAUACGAUAAUUAUAGACGUCCAACAUAAUACUCGAUACCUUCGAUUCCGCGUAAGAUGCAUCUGAGGAUAGAAAGAGAGAGAGAAUAUCGAAAAAUUACAUCACGCAAAUUUCCACAGCAAUUGACGAGGGAAGAGCGUGUCUUGUUUAAAAACCAAUGCUAAAAAACGCCAGAUGUUUAUUAAGUUCUAGACGUUCCUGCCGUUGACAAGACUGCACGCGUUUUUUUUUUUAGAUUCAUUAAGUAAUUGUAGCAAACAUGAAGUCUGGCUCGUAUAGUUUCUGCCUUGCUUUAAGUGUCUUCCCUCUUCUCGUCAAUCUAGUCAAUGUACAAGGCCAGAACUACGGCGCAGGCUACGUUUUGCCAGUACCGGGUGACUGUUACAAGUACCAGGUGUGCGACUACAGCGGCUGCUUCGUCUUUAACUGCGGAAUUGGUACCGAAUUCAAUCCCCGGAUUCUCGUCUGUGACUAUCCUCUACGCGAUCGAGGUGCCUGCGGCAGUCGAGGGAUCAUCACGCAGGGACCCGGUAAUCCUGGAGGAUAUCCCGGAGGAUACCCUGGAACUGCGAAUCCCGGAUAUCCCGGAGCCGCAAGUGCUUAUCCAGCAAACACGGUCUAUUGAUUUUGACGACGAGAGCAGAGCUUAAGACGACGCGGCGCACAUGAUUGUUAGAUGCAUAGAUCUAUGUGAAAUAUAUAAAUAAAUUGUUGAUAUACUUUUUGGA
Molecule: RNA transcript, 3598 nt
Organism: Nasonia vitripennis (jewel wasp)
Lineage: Eukaryota; Metazoa; Arthropoda; Insecta; Hymenoptera; Pteromalidae
Gene name: cytochrome c oxidase assembly protein COX18, mitochondrial
Exons: 7
Source: RefSeq, a predicted model, not a curated record